GCUUUGAUUCUGUUGUCGAGUCAGGUUUGUGUUUGAAUUUAUUUCAUUCAUUAUAAUGAGGCAUCUCUCGUUAACAUAUAUCAAUUUAAAUUCAUUUAUUCAUUGUAAACACCAAUGGGCGCAUUACUGAAUUAUUUGAAAUCCAUUUUGUAUUAGUCAUAUCUGCGUUCACAUAAAAAUUGGUAAUAAGAAGAAUUAAAAGGGUUAGUCUUUGGGAAUCAACAUGCUUUUGGACAUUGUCGUUGGAGCUUUUGUGAUCUACUGGAAUUCAGCAUUCCUUAUUUGUAACCUUCAUUAGUUAUAAUUUAUGUUUUAGAUGACUUUUUUUUUAACAAUUUCAAUUUAUGCCUUUUUUUUUUACAAUUUCAAUUUAUGUUUUUAUUCUUUAAAAUAUUAGAACAUAGGCAGAAAUUCCAUCUUCCUUGUUAUUGCGUGUGUCCUACAAAGAUAUUCUAAAACUGAUAAAAUUUCUAGUUAUCCCGUAUGUUUUUACUGUAUAGAUUUCCACUUUCCUACUCUUAAGGUGCCAGGUUACCUUUCCAUAUUGCAAAUUUUCUUUUCUUUUUUUUGGUAGUGUUAUACGGCUUUUCUUGUCAGUGUGUAUAUUGGUAUAAUUUAUACAUAUUAUAAUUCAUACUUUCUCCUACUUUUCUAAUCCCUCCCUCCACCUCUCCCUAUUGAUGUUACAAGUAGCAGUGUACCUAAGCUUCUAUUCUUGUUUUCUUGU
RNAcentral lists this unclassified non-coding RNA (727 nucleotides) under Hevea brasiliensis (rubber tree). Lineage: Eukaryota; Viridiplantae; Streptophyta; Magnoliopsida; Malpighiales; Euphorbiaceae. The record is from RNAcentral.